UACGAAGGGGGCUAGCGUUGUUCGGAAUCACUGGGCGUAAAGCGUAUGUAGGCGGAUUGUUAAGUCAGGGGUGAAAUCCCGAGGCUCAACCUCGGAACUGCCUUUGAUACUGGCUGUCUUGAGUCCGGGAGAGGUGAGUGGAACUCCUAGUGUAGCGGUGAAAUGCGCAGAUAUCAGGAAGAACACCGGUGGCGAAGGCGGGUCUCUGGGCCGAUAUCGACGCUGAGGAGCGAAAGCGUGGGGAGCGAACAGG
RNAcentral lists this ribosomal RNA (253 nucleotides) under uncultured bacterium. Its description in RNAcentral is "partial 16S ribosomal RNA". It matches the Rfam family "Bacterial small subunit ribosomal RNA", at positions 524 to 776 of the family's 1533-position model. The record is from RNAcentral.